This 607-nucleotide ribosomal RNA is filed under the name uncultured bacterium. RNAcentral describes it as "bacterial SSU rRNA". It matches the Rfam family "Bacterial small subunit ribosomal RNA", at positions 331 to 929 of the family's 1533-position model. The record is from RNAcentral.
CCAGACUCCUACGGGAGGCAGCAGUAGGGAAUCUUCCACAAUGGACGCAAGUCUGAUGGAGCAACGCCGCGUGAGUGAAGAAGGGUUUCGGCUCGUAAAGCUCUGUUGGUAGUGAAGAAAGAUAGAGGUAGUAACUGGCCUUUAUUUGACGGUAAUUACUUAGAAAGUCACGGCUAACUACGUGCCAGCAGCCGCGGUAAUACGUAGGUGGCAAGCGUUGUCCGGAUUUAUUGGGCGUAAAGCGAGUGCAGGCGGUUCAAUAAGUCUGAUGUGAAAGCCUUCGGCUCAACCGGAGAAUUGCAUCAGAAACUGUUGAACUUGAGUGCAGAAGAGGAGAGUGGAACUCCAUGUGUAGCGGUGGAAUGCGUAGAUAUAUGGAAGAACACCAGUGGCGAAGGCGGCUCUCUGGUCUGCAACUGACGCUGAGGCUCGAAAGCAUGGGUAGCGAACAGGAUUAGAUACCCUGGUAGUCCAUGCCGUAAACGAUGAGUGCUAAGUGUUGGGAGGUUUCCGCCUCUCAGUGCUGCAGCUAACGCAUUAAGCACUCCGCCUGGGGAGUACGACCGCAAGGUUGAAACUCAAAGGAAUUGACGGGGGCCCGCACAAG